Long non-coding RNA from Tympanuchus pallidicinctus (lesser prairie-chicken), 539 nucleotides. RefSeq lists it as uncharacterized. The record is from RefSeq and is a predicted model, not a curated record. The transcript is spliced from 3 exons. Lineage: Eukaryota; Metazoa; Chordata; Aves; Galliformes; Phasianidae.
GUAUACCCAGGGCAGAGGCACCAUGGACUCUUAUAAAGGCAAUCCAUGGAGGUAAGAGUGUCUCUUGGACUGCUUCCAGAAGAGGGGUGCUGUAUAGUUGGAGUGUCCCUUCACUACUUGGCGCUGGGAAGUUCAAAUUCAAAAAUGAUUCCACAGAAUGAUCUCUAGCUCACGGUACAGGGCAGUCAUCAGACCUGCCCUAUGAGUACAAUUAAGGAAGUCAGAUCACACCCUACAGCCAUUAGUUUUUCCAUUUCCCCGUUGAGUGACCUGCUGGUCUUCACUUGUUUAUUCUUUGAAAGAGUUCUACAAUGCUGAGGGGAAUUGCUAAAAUGAUAUGAAGUUUAUUGAUUUAACUUCCUGUUUAGACUAGUCGUCUCCAAAAUGAUUUGACUGCACAUGAGGAAAACAAAGCUUGAGUAAGGAAUCCUAUGUUGGAGACACGUAGCUCAGAGCCUGUGCAGGGAAGCCUGCUCCCAGUAUCUUCCUAUCAUGUCCAUAAAAUCCCACAUUUCCCUAUCUUUUGAAUAAACUCUGAA